AUGGUUGUCGUCAGCUCGUGUCGUGAGAUGUUGGGUUAAGUCCCGCAACGAGCGCAACCCUUGUGUUUAGUUUGCAAACAAGGUCAAGCUGUGCACUCUAGACAGACUGCCGUGGACAACACGGAGGAAGGUGGGGAUGACGUCAAAUCAUCAUGCCCCUUAUGAUCUGGGCUACACACGUGCUACAAUGGCCGGUACAACGGGCAGCGAAGGAGCGAUCCGGAGCGAAUCCUAAAAAGCCGGUCCCAGUUCGGAUUGCAGGCUGAAACUCGCCUACAUGAAGUUGGAGUUGCUAGUAAUCGCGAAUCAGAAUGUCGCGGUGAAUGCGUUCCCGGGUCUU
This 340-nucleotide ribosomal RNA is filed under the name uncultured Fusibacter sp. RNAcentral's name for it is "bacterial SSU rRNA". It matches the Rfam family "Bacterial small subunit ribosomal RNA", at positions 1045 to 1382 of the family's 1533-position model. The record is from RNAcentral. Lineage: Bacteria; Bacillati; Bacillota; Clostridia; Eubacteriales; Fusibacteraceae.